CUGGGGAUAUAGCUCGGUCAGUAGGGUGUUUGCCUUGCACGCACAAGGCCCUGGGUUCAAUCCCCAGCACCAGG
This 74-nucleotide transfer RNA is filed under the name Marmota monax (woodchuck). RNAcentral describes it as "tRNA.Ala". It matches the Rfam family "tRNA". Rfam says of the family: Transfer RNA (tRNA) molecules are approximately 80 nucleotides in length. Their secondary structure includes four short double-helical elements and three loops (D, anti-codon, and T loops). Lineage: Eukaryota; Metazoa; Chordata; Mammalia; Rodentia; Sciuridae. The record is from RNAcentral.